CCUACGGGUGGCAGCAGUGAGGAAUAUUGGUCAAUGGUCGGGAGACUGAACCAGCCAAGCCGCGUGAGGGAUGAAGGUCCAGAGUAUUGUAAACCUCUUUUGUCAGGGCAUAAAGGCGGGGACGCGUCCCCGGAUGCAUGUACCUGAAGAAAAAGCAUCGGCUAACUCCGUGCCAGCAGCCGCGGUAAUACGGAGGAUGCGAGCGUUCUCCGGAUUUAUUGGGUUUAAGGGGUGCGCAGCGGGUCUGUUAAGUCAGUGGUAAAAGUCAGGGGCUCAACCCCGGACCGCCAUUGAAACUGGCAGUCUCGAGUUGGAGAGAAGUAGGCGGAAUGCGCGGUGUAGCGGUGAAAUGCAGAGAGAU
Molecule: ribosomal RNA, 361 nt
Filed under: uncultured bacterium
Lineage: Bacteria
Description: partial 16S ribosomal RNA
Rfam family: Bacterial small subunit ribosomal RNA
Source: RNAcentral